UACGUAGGGGGCUAGCGUUGUCCGGAAUCAUUGGGCGUAAAGCGCGUGUAGGCGGUCCGGUAAGUCCGCUGUGAAAGUCGGGGGCUCAACCCUCGAAUGCCGGUGGAUACUGUCGGGCUAGAGUGCGGAAGAGGCGAGUGGAAUUCCUGGUGUAGCGGUGAAAUGCGUAGAGAUCAGGAAGAACACCGGUGGCAAAAGCGCUCUGCUAGGCCGCAACUGACACUCAUGGACGAAAGCUAGGGGAGCGAAUGGG
RNAcentral lists this ribosomal RNA (253 nucleotides) under uncultured bacterium. Its description in RNAcentral is "partial 16S ribosomal RNA". It matches the Rfam family "Bacterial small subunit ribosomal RNA", at positions 524 to 776 of the family's 1533-position model. The record is from RNAcentral.